This 963-nucleotide ribosomal RNA is filed under the name uncultured bacterium. Its description in RNAcentral is "bacterial SSU rRNA". It matches the Rfam family "Bacterial small subunit ribosomal RNA", at positions 49 to 1010 of the family's 1533-position model. The record is from RNAcentral.
UUUAACAUGCAGUCGAACGGGCUUGGGGGCUUGCUCCCGGGUUAGUGGCGAACGGGUGAGUAAUAUAUCGGAACAUAUCCGGAAGUGGGGGAUAACGUAGCGAAAGUUACGCUAAUACCGCAUAUGCCCUGAGGGGGAAAGGGGGGGAUCGCAAGACCUCUCGCUUUCGGAGUGGCCGAUACCGAAUUAGCUAGAUGGUGAGGUAAAGGCUCACCAUGGCGACGAUCCGUAGCGGGUCUGAGAGGACGACCCGCCACACUGGAACUGAGACACGGUCCAGACUCCUACGGGAGGCAGCAGUGGGGAAUUUUGGACAAUGGGCGCAAGCCUGAUCCAGCCAUACCGCGUGAGUGAAGAAGGCCUUCGGGUUGUAAAGCUCUUUCAGCCGGAAAGAAAUUGCUUCUAUUAAUACUAGGGGUAGAUGACGGUACCGGAAGAAGAAGCACCGGCUAACUACGUGCCAGCAGCCGCGGUAAUACGUAGGGUGCGAGCGUUAAUCGGAAUUACUGGGCGCAAAGCGUGCGCAGGCGGUUUGGUAAGACAGAUGUGAAAUCCCCGGGCUUAACCUGGGAACUGCGUUUGUGACUGCAAGGCUAGAGUAUGGCAGAGGGGGGUAGAAUUCCACGUGUAGCAGUGAAAUGCGUAGAGAUGUGGAGGAAUACCGAUGGCGAAGGCAGCCCCCUGGGUUAACACUGACGCUCAGGCACGAAAGCGUGGGUAGCAAACAGGAUUAGAUACCCUGGUAGUCCACGCCCUAAACGAUGUCAACUAGUUGUUGGGGAGGGAGACCUCCUUGGUAACGCAGCUCACGCGUGAAGUUGACCGCCUGGGGAGUACGGUCGCAAGAUUAAAACUCAAAGGAAUUGACGGGGGCCCGCACAAGCGGUGGAUUAUGUGGAUUAAUUCGAUGCAACGCGAAAACCUUACCUACCCUUGACAUGUACGGAAGACUGCAGAGAUGUG